UACGGAAGGUCCGGGCGUUAUCCGGAUUUAUUGGGUUUAAAGGGAGCGUAGGCCGGCUUUUAAGUCAGCUGUGAAAGUCCGCGGCUCAACCGUGGAAUUGCAGUUGAAACUGGCAGUCUUGAGUACAGUAGAGGUGGGCGGAAUUCGUGGUGUAGCGGUGAAAUGCUUAGAUAUCACGAAGAACUCCGAUUGCGAAGGCAGCAUGCCGGCUCCACACUGACGCUGAGGCACGAAAGCGUGGGUAUCGAACAGG
This 253-nucleotide ribosomal RNA is filed under the name uncultured Prevotellaceae bacterium. RNAcentral's name for it is "partial 16S ribosomal RNA". It matches the Rfam family "Bacterial small subunit ribosomal RNA", at positions 524 to 776 of the family's 1533-position model. The record is from RNAcentral. Lineage: Bacteria; Pseudomonadati; Bacteroidota; Bacteroidia; Bacteroidales; Prevotellaceae.